Long non-coding RNA from Junco hyemalis (dark-eyed junco), 1712 nucleotides. The record is from Ensembl. NCBI's taxonomy places the organism in Eukaryota, Metazoa, Chordata, Aves, Passeriformes, Passerellidae.
GGGGAGCCGGGGGGGGCCGGGGAAGGGCCGGCCGGGGCACCUGCGGCUGCUGGGCCCGAGGGGAAGCGGGAGGCGGCAGCAGGGGGCGAGGCGCGGGCCGCGGGGCCGGCCGGAGCACGGCAGCCGGAGCCGGGCACGGAGCCGCUCGGGCAUGCAGGGGGGCUCGGAGCGGGGGCGCUGGGGGAGCAGGCCGCUGCAGAGACCGCCCCGAGCAGCCCCGGGCACGGGGGAGUGGCAGCGAGGGCGAGAGGAGCGGGAGGCGAGGGGCUGUGCCCGGGCACCCCGCCACAGCCGGCGGCGACAGGGACAGCGCGGGGCAGGCACGGGCGGCAGGAGCCGGGCAUGGAGCGGGAUGCAGGGCAAGCCGGGGACGAGCAGCCGAGUGCCCCUGAGAACACCAGAGAGGGCGAGGUGGCCGCUGUGUCGGCCAGUGCCGGGCCCGCUGCCGGAGCCGCGGAGCAGAGGAAGGACGGUCCCGUCGGAGGGAGCCCGAGUGUCCCGGCAGCCGCUGACGGGGGCGACAGGAGCCGCAGUUCCCGUCAGGAUAGUGCAAACCCAGACCCACUCAUCAUGUCCUCAGAAGAGGAUGGGGAAGAAACCCUGCUCUGAGCUUUUCCUGCAGCCUCUCGGUGUUGUGUCCUGCCACAUGCUCUCAGCUGGCCGCGGGUUUGUGCCGGCUGGGAUGUUGCUUCUCUCUCUCUUCACCCUGUGAGUAGCGCAGCCACCUGUCACGUUUCACUGGAGCAGCUCCUCAGCGUGCAGCAGACAACUGGAACAAGCUUGUGUCUGCCAGCCCGGGAAGCAGCACUCCUUUGGGAGGACGAGGACAGUAAUCACAAGGAUUGUUCCACAGCUGUCUGCCUUGUUUUUCUUGAAAACCAGAGAAAUACUGGGCUGACUGAACUUCCCCUCCUCCCCUAGGCGCCGCUUGCCCCUGCAGGCAGGCAGGGCUGUUAUCCCGGGAUCUUGCCCAUCCAUCCCAGGGCAGGGGAGCCCUCCUGCUUGCACAGUGCCCCCGUGCCAGGAGCGUGUGGGGGGCUUCCCUCCCCUUGGGCAUCCAGGCUUGCUGCUGGCCACACUCCAGGGCAUUCUCAGCACGUGGAAAUGUUGAAAUUUGUUAAAUCAGAACAAUUGCAACAGGUAUUUGUAAAUGCAUAAAGCCUGACCUUCUGCUUUUGUUGGAUUCACUCAGGAGGAGUCAGUGGAGCCUCAGCUAAGGCUGCCAGGAGGGUGGUGAGUUUAGAGUUGUCUCAGCCUGGCUGCCCUUCUCUGCUGCCCAAGGCUCUUCUCAGGUGUGCUGCACCUCUGGCAGCACUGGGGCCCCAGGACCCUUUUGGGCCAGGCAAAACCCCUUCGGGGCUGGGUGUGCAGCAGCCUGUAGGCACUCCAAGCCUGGUGGGUGCAGCAGACUCAGCCCCACAGAGUGGGGACUGUAACUGCCUUUACAAGGAGGGAAAAGACGCUGAAAUGAGCAGGAUUUUGAGCAGAUUGGUGCUGUGAGUCACUUCAGAUCAAUGUACAUGGAACUGGAAACUCAAACGUGAUCAAGUGGUUGCUGUGUGUUUGCUCCUAGAGACAUUCCUGUACUAGAGCUGGUUGCAUGUGUGUGUUUAGUCUGCACGUCUCAGAGGGUUGUGUUUUCUCUGUCCAUACCCAUGCCUAUGUGUUCACUCAGGCCUAUUAAAUACCUGUACCACUCUGUGCAGCUCCUU